ACGAGCGCUGGCGGCGUGUCUAAUACAUGCAGUCGAGCGAACGGACUCAGAAAGCUUGCUUCAGAGGCGAGUUAGCGGCGAACGGGUGAGUAACGCGUAAACAAUCUGCCUUCGGGUCCGGGAUAACAUCGGGAAACUGGUGCUAACACUGGAUAUUAUGACCACAUCGCAUGAUGAGGUUAUGAAACGGGGCUUCGGCUAGGCCUGAAGAUGAGUUUGCGUUCCAUUAGCUAGUUGGUGUGGUAACGGCGCACCAUGGCGACGAUGGGUAGCCGGCCUGAGAGGGUGAUCGGCCACAUUGGAACUGAGACACGGUCCAGACUCCUACGGGAGGCAGCAGUAGGGAAUAUUGCGCAAUGGGCGUUGAGCCUGACGCAGCGACGCCGCGUGAGUGAUGAAGGCCUUCGGGUCGUAAAGCUCUGUCAGCAGGGAAGAAGGUACAGUAUGUGAAUAAUGUGCUUUACUUGACGGUACCUGCAGAGGAAGCCCCGGCUAAUUACGUGCCAGCAGCCGCGGUAACACGUAAGGGGCAAGCGCUGUCCGGAAAUCACUGGGCGUAAAGGGAGCGUAGGCGGUCAAAUUAAGUCAGAUGUGAAAGUUUGCGGCUCAACCGUAAAAUUGCCUUUGAUACUGGUUUAACUAGAGUACCGGAGGGGAACGCGGAAUUCCUGGUGUAGCGGUGAACUGCGCAGAUAUCACGAAGAACACCGAUGGCGAAGGCAGCUUUCUGGACGGUAACUUGACGCUGAGGCUCGAAAGCGUGGGGAGCGACCCGGAUUAGAUACCCUGGUA
RNAcentral lists this ribosomal RNA (792 nucleotides) under uncultured organism. RNAcentral's name for it is "bacterial SSU rRNA". It matches the Rfam family "Bacterial small subunit ribosomal RNA", at positions 29 to 792 of the family's 1533-position model. The record is from RNAcentral.